GACGAACGCUGGCGGCGUGCCUAAUACAUGCAAGUCGAACGAGAGCAACCGGUGCUUGCACUGGUCAAUCUAGUGGCGAACGGGUGAGUAACACGUGGGUAACCUGCCCAUCAGAGGGGGAUAACAUCCGGAAACGGAUGCUAAAACCGCAUAGGUCUUCGAACCGCAUGGUUUGAAGAGGAAAAGAGGCGCAAGCUUCUGCUGAUGGAUGGACCCGCGGUGCAUUAGCUAGUUGGUGAGGUAACGGCUCACCAAGGCCGGGAUGCAUAGCCGACCUGAGAGGGUGAUCGGCCACAUUGGGACUGAGACACGGCCCAAACUCCUACGGGAGGCAGCAGUAGGGAAUCUUCCGCAAUGGACGCAAGUCUGACGGAGCAACGCCGCGUGAGUGAAGAAGGUUUUCGGAUCGUAAAACUCUGUUGUUAGAGAAGAACAAGUGCUAGAGUAACUGUUAGCGCCUUGACGGUAUCUAACCAGAAAGCCACGGCUAACUACGUG
RNAcentral lists this ribosomal RNA (498 nucleotides) under uncultured bacterium. Its description in RNAcentral is "partial 16S ribosomal RNA". It matches the Rfam family "Bacterial small subunit ribosomal RNA", at positions 28 to 507 of the family's 1533-position model. The record is from RNAcentral.